UACCGUAAACGAUGACGACCAGCGAUUAGUCGGUGUUAAUAUACGACCCGACUAGCAGCUUCCGGGAAACCAAAGUUUUUCGUUUCCGGGGGAAGUAUGGUUGCAAAGCUGAAACUUAAAGGAAUUGACGGAAGGGCACCACCAGGAGUGGAGCCUGCGGCUUAAUUUGACUCAACACGGGAAAACUCACCCGGCCCGGACACCGUGAGGAUUGACAGACUGAGAGCUCUUUCUUAAUUCGGUGGGUGGUGGUGCAUGGCCGUUCUUAGUUGGUGGAGCGAUUUGUCUGGUUAAUUCCGAUAACGAACGAGACUCUGGCCUAUUAAAUAGUCGGUAUAUCCAGAAAAGUUUACCGUACUUCUUAGAGGGACAAACGGCGUCUAGCCGCGUGAAAUAGAGCAAUAACAGGUCUGUGAUGCCCUUAGAUGUCCGGGGCUGCACGCGCGCUACACUGAAAGAAUCAGUAUGCGCUUUAACCUAGUCCGGAAGGAUUGGGUAACCCGAGCAAAUUCUUUCGUGCUUGGGAUAGGGAAUUGCAAUUAUUUCCCUUAAACGAGGAAUUCCCAGUAAAUGCGGGUCAUAAGCUCGCGUUGAUUACGUCCCUGCCCUUUGUACACACCGCCCGUCGCUACUACCGAUUGGAUGACUUAGUGAGGUCUUAGGACCGACGUAAAGGAGCUUUCGCGAGUUCUUUUUCGUUGGAAAUUUGAUCGAACUACGUUAUCUAGAGGGAGUAAAAGUCGUAACAAGGUUUUCCGUAGGUGAACCUGCGGAAGGA
RNAcentral lists this ribosomal RNA (778 nucleotides) under uncultured eukaryote. Its description in RNAcentral is "SSU rRNA". It matches the Rfam family "Eukaryotic small subunit ribosomal RNA", at positions 1028 to 1825 of the family's 1831-position model. The record is from RNAcentral.